Molecule: ribosomal RNA, 675 nt
Filed under: uncultured Bacilli bacterium
Lineage: Bacteria; Bacillati; Bacillota; Bacilli
Description: bacterial SSU rRNA
Rfam family: Bacterial small subunit ribosomal RNA
Source: RNAcentral
CCUCCCGAGUGCUUGCACUCAAUUGGAAAGAGGAGUGGCGGACGGGUGAGUAACACGUGGGUAACCUACCCAUCAGAGGGGGAUAACACUUGGAAACAGGUGCUAAUACCGCAUAACAGUUUAUGCCGCAUGGCAUAAGAGUGAAAGGCGCUUUCGGGUGUCGUUGAUGGAUGGACCCGCGGUGCAUUAGCUAGUUGGUGAGGUAACGGCUCACCAAGGCCACGAUGCAUAGCCGACCUGAGAGGGUGAUCGGCCACACUGGGACUGAGACACGGCCCAGACUCCUACGGGAGGCAGCAGUAGGGAAUCCUCGGCAAUGGACGAAAGUCUGACCGAGCAACGCCGCGUGAGUGAAGAAGGUUUUCGGAUCGUAAAACUCUGUUGUUAGAGAAGAACAAGGACGUUAGUAACUGAACGUCCCCUGACGGUAUCUAACCAGAAAGCCACGGCUAACUACGUGCCAGCAGCCGCGGUAAUACGUAGGUGGCAAGCGUUGUCCGGAUUUAUUGGGCGUAAAGCGAGCGCAGGCGGUUUCUUAAGUCUGAUGUGAAAGCCCCCGGCUCAACCGGGGAGGGUCAUUGGAAACUGGGAGACUUGAGUGCAGAAGAGGAGAGUGGAAUUCCAUGUGUAGCGGUGAAAUGCGUAGAUAUAUGGGGGACACCAGUGGCGAAGGCG